AAUUGCACAUCUCCCGGCCGGC
RNAcentral lists this microRNA (22 nucleotides) under Lingula anatina. RNAcentral describes it as "Lan-Mir-92-o84_3p (mature (guide))". Lineage: Eukaryota; Metazoa; Brachiopoda; Lingulata; Lingulida; Lingulidae. The record is from RNAcentral.